This 301-nucleotide ribosomal RNA is filed under the name uncultured bacterium. RNAcentral's name for it is "partial 16S ribosomal RNA". It matches the Rfam family "Bacterial small subunit ribosomal RNA", at positions 509 to 807 of the family's 1533-position model. The record is from RNAcentral.
CAGUCGCCACGGGAAUACAGAGGAUGCAAGCGUUAUCCGGAAUGAUUGGGCGUAAAGCGUCUGUAGGUGGCUUUUCAAGUCCGCCGUCAAGUCCCAGGGCUCAACCCUGGACAGGCGGUGGAAACUACCAAGCUGGAGUACGGUAGGGGCAGAGGGAAUUUCCGGUGUAGCGGUGAAAUGCGUAGAUAUAUGGAGGAACACCGGUGGCGAAAGCGGCUCUCUGGUCUGUCACUGACGCUGAGGCUCGAAAGCGUGGGUAGCGAACAGGAUUAGAUACCCCCGUAGUCCCUGUCUCUUAUAC